UAGGGAAUCUUCGGCAAUGGACGAAAGUCUGACCGAGCAACGCCGCGUGAGUGAAGAAGGUUUUCGGAUCGUAAAACUCUGUUGUUAGAGAAGAACAAGGACGUUAGUAACUGAACGUCCCCUGACGGUAUCUAACCAGAAAGCCACGGCUAACUACGUGCCAGCAGCCGCGGUAAUACGUAGGUGGCAAGCGUUGUCCGGAUUUAUUGGGCGUAAAGCGAGCGCAGGCGGUUUCUUAAGUCUGAUGUGAAAGCCCCCGGCUCAACCGGGGAGGGUCAUUGGAAACUGGGAGACUUGAGUGCAGAAGGGGGGAGGGAAAUUCCAUGUGUAGCGGUGAAAUGCGUAGAUAUAUGGAGGAACACCAGUGGCGAAGGCGGCUCUCUGGUCUGUAACUGACGCUGAGGCUCGAAAGCGUGGGGAGCAAACAGG
Molecule: ribosomal RNA, 429 nt
Filed under: Gemmatimonadota bacterium
Lineage: Bacteria; Pseudomonadati; Gemmatimonadota
Description: Gemmatimonadetes bacterium partial 16S ribosomal RNA
Rfam family: Bacterial small subunit ribosomal RNA
Source: RNAcentral